Molecule: long non-coding RNA, 200 nt
Filed under: Homo sapiens (human)
Lineage: Eukaryota; Metazoa; Chordata; Mammalia; Primates; Hominidae
Description: lncAB71.1
Source: RNAcentral
UGAAGACCAGCAUUCCCAGGUGGGAGUGAGAGGCCUCAUUCAUGGCUUUAGACUGGAUGCACAUGCGGUACUGCUCGGGGGUCAGCUCAUCAGCACAGCGCUUUUCAUGCCAGAGGUGGAAAAGACCAGGAACCGGAGUCCGAAUCACAAUGAGGUCACCAUGUAAGUAUUUUCGAUAAAGAUGAACAUCUUCUCCACCC